CCUACGGGAGGCAGCAGUAAGGAAUAUUGGACAAUGGUGGCAACACUGAUCCAGCCAUGCCGCGUGAAGGAUGAAGGCCCUAUGGGUUGUAAACUUCUUUUGUACGGGAAAAAAUGCUCUUCGUGUAAGAGUACUGAUGGUACCGUAAGAAUAAGGAUCGGCUAACUCCGUGCCAGCAGCCGCGGUAAUACGGAGGAUCCAAGCGUUAUCCGGAUUCAUUGGGUUUAAAGGGUGCGUAGGCGGAACGAUAAGUCAGUGGUGAAAGCCCUCAGCUCAACUGAGGAACUGCCAUUGAUACUGUCGAUCUUGAGUACAUUUGAUGUGGGCGGAAUGUGUCAUGUAGCGGUGAAAUGCUUAGAUAUGACACAGAACACCGAUUGCGAAGGCAGCUCACAAAACUGUAACUGACGCUGAGGCACGAAAGCGUGGGUAUCAAACAGGAUUAGAUACCCUGGUAGUCCACGCUGUAAACUAUGAUUACUCGAUGUUGUGAUACACUAGUAAGUACGUACUAAGACGAAGACAAUAAGUAAUACCACCGUACGGGUAGGUACGACGUCGCGAAGAGUAGAACGUACGAAAGGAAGUUAGACGGCGNGAGGACGNGCCGACGGACGACGACGAGGGAGGAGG
This 633-nucleotide ribosomal RNA is filed under the name uncultured bacterium. Its description in RNAcentral is "bacterial SSU rRNA". The stretch from base 1 to 540 matches the Rfam family "Bacterial small subunit ribosomal RNA", at positions 338 to 873 of the family's 1533-position model. The record is from RNAcentral.